This 440-nucleotide ribosomal RNA is filed under the name uncultured bacterium. RNAcentral's name for it is "partial 16S ribosomal RNA". It matches the Rfam family "Bacterial small subunit ribosomal RNA", at positions 338 to 795 of the family's 1533-position model. The record is from RNAcentral.
CCUACGGGAGGCAGCAGUGGGGAAUAUUGCACAAUGGGGGAAACCCUGAUGCAGCGACGCCGCGUGAAGGACGAAGUAUUUCGGUAUGUAAACUUCUAUCAGCCGGGAAGAAAAUGACGGAACCUGACGAAGAAGCCCAGGCUACUUACGUGCCAGCAGCCGCGGUAAUACGUAGGGGGCACGCGUUAUACUGAUUUACUGGGUGUAAAGGGAGCGUAGGCGGUGCAGCAAGUCAGAAGUGAAAGCCCGGGGCUCAACUCCGGGACUGCUGUGGAAACGGGUGUACUAGAUUGCAGGAGAGGUAAGUGGAAUUCGUGGUGUAGCGGUGAAAUGCGUAGAUAUUAGGAGGAACACCAGUGGCGAAGGCGGCUUACUGGACUGUAAAUGACGCUGAGGCUCGAAAGCGUGGGGAGCGAACAGGAUUAGAUACCCCUGUAGUC